Molecule: unclassified non-coding RNA, 425 nt
Filed under: soil metagenome
Description: partial contains 5.8S ribosomal RNA, internal transcribed spacer 2, and large subunit ribosomal RNA
Rfam family: 5.8S ribosomal RNA (bases 1-120)
Source: RNAcentral
GAUGAAGAACGUAGCGAAAUGCGAUAAGUAGUGUGAAUUGCAGAAUUCCGUGAAUCAUCGAAUCUUUGAACGCACAUUGCGCCUUCUGGUAUUCCGGAAGGCAUGCCUGUUCGAGAGUCAUUAACAACCGUUUCGAUCCCUUUCUUUCAGAAAUUACAAAGAGGAAAAGGGUUUGGUUAUGGUGGAGGAGGGAAAGGGAGCGUUUAGCCUGUAAAAAAAGAGGCUGUGUUCCGCCUCCCCCCCAAAAUUGUACAGGCGGUCGUGUGCGCCCACGCAUCGAGGUGUUGUAAAAGCUGCCACGGCACUUUUCACCUGUGCAGUGCGAGAUUGGCCAGCCGGUUUAAAAACCCCUCCAAACAGUCAAAGGUUGACCUCGGAUCAGGUAGGGAUACCCGCUGAACUUAAGCAUAUCAAUAAGCGGAGGA